This 468-nucleotide ribosomal RNA is filed under the name uncultured bacterium. RNAcentral describes it as "partial 16S ribosomal RNA". It matches the Rfam family "Bacterial small subunit ribosomal RNA", at positions 28 to 507 of the family's 1533-position model. The record is from RNAcentral.
GACGAACGCUGGCGGCGUGCUUAAUACAUGCCAGUCGAACGGACAGGCCCUGCUCUUGCGGGGUGCUCGAGUGGGGAACGGGUGAGUAACACGCGAGUAACCCCCCCCUGUCUUUCGGAUAACUUUUGGAAACUGGGGAUCAUACCGGAUAGGAGCUACUGCUGCAUGGUGGGGGAUGGUAAGUUUCGGCGGUUGGGGAUGGUCUAGAGGCUUAUCAGCUUGUUGGUGGGGUUGUGGCUUACCAAGGUUUCGACGGGUAGCCGGCCUGGGAGGGGGGCCAGCCACAUUGGGACUGAGGUAGGGACCAGACGGCUACGGGAGGCAGCAGUGGAGAAUAUUGCGCAAUGGGGGGAAGCCUGAUGCAACAACGCCGCGUUCGGAAUGACGGCCUUCGAGUUGUAAACCGCUGUCGCCUGUGACGAGGCGUGAGUGACGGUAAUGAGUAAGGAAGCACCGGCUAACUACGUG